GUGACCAGGUGAGAUGAUAAAAGGCCCGCGCGUGCAGAGGCCGGCAGGUGAGUGACGCAUGCGCACUGGACACGCAGCGCGGCUGCUGCUGACGUCCUGACGCUCUGUCAGCCAGAGGAGCAUCUGCUUCCGGGAGGCUCCACCCGGGAGCCCGGGACCACCACAGAGCCCCUUUGCUUCUGGAGGAAAGAGCCAGACGUCUCAAAGGGGCCUCAGGGAUUCAAGGACAUUGAGUAGCAGCAGAAUAAACCACGAAAGCAGAAGCUCACUGGGAAUGCAGAUAUCUCCAUGGAUGCCAGAGAGCAGAAGUGAUGAGGACAACCUAGCAAAAUGAUGGCAACCUGGAUUCUUCUGGCCAUUUUCACCACCGGCCCAACAGAAGGCCUCCUAAAUUGGAUCUGGUCCUUCCAAUUUCUUUAAUUAAAAAUUAAGUCUAAUGUGAUCAAUAUGCCGAUUCAAAGAAUUAUCACAGCAUCAAUAUAAAUAUAAAAAAUAAGAAAUGGAGAAACAGCCCAAAUGUCCAUUCAUAGGAUAAAUUAUGCAAAUUAAGCAA
Molecule: long non-coding RNA, 553 nt
Organism: Mustela lutreola (European mink)
Lineage: Eukaryota; Metazoa; Chordata; Mammalia; Carnivora; Mustelidae
Exons: 3
Source: RefSeq, a predicted model, not a curated record